RNAcentral lists this ribosomal RNA (256 nucleotides) under uncultured bacterium. Its description in RNAcentral is "partial 16S ribosomal RNA". It matches the Rfam family "Bacterial small subunit ribosomal RNA", at positions 524 to 776 of the family's 1533-position model. The record is from RNAcentral.
UACAGAGGUCUCAAGCGUUGUUCGGAUUCAUUGGGCGUAAAGGGUGCGUAGGCGGCGCGGUAAGUCGGGUGUGAAAUCUCCAGGCUCAACCUGGAAAUGGCAUUGGAUACUAUUUAGCUUGAGGAGUGGAGGGGGGGACUGGAAUUCUCGGUGUAGCAGUGAAAUGCGUAGAUAUCAGGAGGAACACCUGUGGUGUAGACAGCUUACUGGACCACUUCUGACGCUGAGACACGAAAAGCGUGGGUAGCAAAACAGG